CCCAGAGUCGUCAUUCCUCUCUGAAUGCAGAUCACUUUCAUCUCAGGCAUCAGAAGAACAAAAAAUGCCAAGUCUAACGUCUGACCACAAAUAUCUGAAUAAUAAAGCCUCGGGAAGAUCAUUGGGAUGUUUUCCCUUUGAAAGUAACUGGAGGAGCGCAUUGUUAAAGACAGAAGGGAUAAAAGAAGCAGAAUACUCUUCAACCUUUGGCUUGAGAGACUGCAAGGAGAGUGCUGCAAUAUCUAACCUUACUCAGGGAGUCCAGAGCUAUCAAGAAAACCCAUCUUCUAUUCUGCAGAUGAAAAAAGGAUUUGCAUAUGGUCCUGCUAAACCAUUUCCAACUGGCUCUUAUAGUGAAGAUGAGCAUCAUUUUGUGCCAACUUCAUACAUACAUCCACAGACAUCACAGUACUUAGGAUAUGAGUUUUGCAAAAACAGGGGAGACGUACCUGUGGUGGAUCUGCAGAAGAGAGGACUAGAUUUUUGGAACCCAAGUCCACUGAAGAUGCCAGCCAUUCAUGAUGGAGGUGGAGAGAUAGGAGCUUUGAGAUCCAAGAAGAAUAACCACAUUUCCAGCAUAUGUUCACUUUCAGCGGGACCCAGAUGCAAGUUCGGUAAGAAAUGUAUAAUACAUGUACAGUUUUAGUGUUCAGCUCUUGUCAGAUGCUGUUAGAAUUGAGGAGUUGUAGAAGGGGCAACUCUAAGGGCUUGUCUACAUAGACAGUUAGUUUAUGGCAACUGAGCUGUGAAUUUACCCCACCCUAGUCUGCUACAUACUAACUCCCUUUGUGGUCUCUGCUGACACGCAUUAACAGUUUGUUAACGAGCUU
RNAcentral lists this long non-coding RNA (830 nucleotides) under Gopherus agassizii (Agassiz's desert tortoise). RNAcentral's name for it is "lncRNA (ENSGAGG00000011367.1)". The record is from RNAcentral. Lineage: Eukaryota; Metazoa; Chordata; Testudines; Testudinidae.